Thalassophryne amazonica is the source of this 515-nucleotide long non-coding RNA. RefSeq lists it as uncharacterized. The transcript has 5 exons. NCBI's taxonomy places the organism in Eukaryota, Metazoa, Chordata, Actinopteri, Batrachoidiformes, Batrachoididae. The record is from RefSeq and is a predicted model, not a curated record.
GGACUCGGACAAAGCAGGUUACGCCAUAUUUUUAGUAGGGUAGCGUUAAAUUUUCUCCUCCCUCCUCCCCAAAAAUGGCAAAAUAGCUGGUGGAACGCCCAGCGGAGCUAUGGAGGGCGCUUCUGGGGAUGAUUACCCUGGUACGCAGGGCUCUAAUGUGUGUCUGCGAAGGCGAACGAGCUCCAGCGACAGAGACGACCGUGUGCGGGCGGUGACAGCCGCUCUGCAGUCCAGGUUCGGGCCCUACGAGCCGGUCCUGACCUACCUCCAGUCCGUCCUGGUGUGGGAAAGACCCGUCAUUGUGUGCUGCUCUACGCUGUGGUCAACGUUGUUUUCUGGUUCUUUGCCCUGACCUCAUUGCGACUACUGUUCCUGUUGGCUUCUGGACUGGCUGUGGUCGUCUUUCUCGAUGCCUGGAAAAAUAAGAUAUGGCCAGAAAUUAGAGUCAGAACCUCGGAAGAAUCAGAAAGUGAGAGCUGGGGUCUGGUGCAGCCUGGUGUCCUUAGCGUGCCUGA